This 23-nucleotide microRNA is filed under the name Oreochromis niloticus (Nile tilapia). RNAcentral describes it as "oni-miR-10703". The record is from miRBase by way of RNAcentral. Lineage: Eukaryota; Metazoa; Chordata; Actinopteri; Cichliformes; Cichlidae.
UCUCUACCGGCGCACGUCGCUGU